GAUGAACGCUGGCGGCGUGCCUAACACAUGCAAGUCGAACGAAGCUGCCAUGACAGAGAUUUCGGUCAAUGGAUUGGUAGACUUAGUGGCGGACGGGUGAGUAAUGCGUGAGCAACCUGCCUUUCAGAGGGGGACAACAGUUGGAAACGACUGCUAAUACCGCAUAAUGUACUUCGGGGGCAUCCCUGAGGUACCAAAGGGGCAAUCCGCUGAAAGAUGGGCUCACGUCUGAUUAGCUAGUUGGUGAGGUAAUGGCUCACCAAGGCUGCGAUCAGUAGCCGGACUGAGAGGUUGAACGGCCACAUUGGGACUGAGAUACGGGCCCAGACUCCUACGGGAGGCAGCAGUGGGGAAUAUUGGUC
Molecule: ribosomal RNA, 362 nt
Filed under: uncultured bacterium
Lineage: Bacteria
Description: bacterial SSU rRNA
Rfam family: Bacterial small subunit ribosomal RNA
Source: RNAcentral